Molecule: non-coding RNA, 241 nt
Organism: Paramuricea clavata
Lineage: Eukaryota; Metazoa; Cnidaria; Anthozoa; Malacalcyonacea; Plexauridae
Source: the annotation of a GenBank genome assembly
AGCGACAGAAUGACCACUGCAUGCUUGUUGCUGCAGCACACUAAUCUGGACAACUGAUUUUGACGUAAUGACCCGUGCCAGUUUAAUUCCUUGACCGAGUUAUAACAAUGCAGCUUUGAAUCAAAAUAUAGAAGAAAUUUGGAUUUCUGUCACUCGGUAAUUGUUCGUAAGUCGCCGUAAAGCUCUCGUUUCGUACUUUCCGCCAUGAUGAUAUAGAAAAACAAUAAUUUCUUUAUACUAU